GGUUAAGUUAGUAAGGGCGCACGGUGGAUGCCUUGGCACUAGGAGCCGAAGAAGGACGUGACAAACGACGAAAUGCCUCGGGGAGCUGUAAGUAAGCGACGAUCCGUGGAUAUCCGAAUGGGGGAACCCAACAGGUAAUGCCUGUUACCCAUAUCUGUUAAGGAUAUGAGGAGGAAGACGCAGUGAACUGAAACAUCUAAGUAGCUGCAGGAAGAGAAAGCAAAAGCGAUUGCCUUAGUAGCG
RNAcentral lists this ribosomal RNA (243 nucleotides) under Streptococcus pneumoniae. RNAcentral describes it as "partial 23S ribosomal RNA". It matches the Rfam family "Bacterial large subunit ribosomal RNA", at positions 1 to 248 of the family's 2925-position model. The record is from RNAcentral. Lineage: Bacteria; Bacillati; Bacillota; Bacilli; Lactobacillales; Streptococcaceae.